UGCUGAUGAUGAGUCUACAAUUGAGCAACUAUUGUUGACCAAUUCUGAUUACACAACUAAAAAUCAAUGUAUUGAAGUGCUUCACAAAUCAACUCAAACCAGAUGGCUUUACUACCCGAGUGAACUAAAAGAUCACAAACAUCCAAGCUUCAAGUCUUACCCCCAUCCCCACUGAAGUCAGGUUUCACACUUUGAGAGGAAAGUGAAAAUUGGAUUUCCUGUGACAUGCCAUUCAUCUGUUUGUUUUGAAAACCCUUAAAAACCCAUGAAGAGAACACUGGACUUGAGAGUUCAUGAAGAAAAUGGAUACUGCCAAGGAUUUGGGAACACU
Non-coding RNA from Chiloscyllium plagiosum (whitespotted bambooshark), 331 nucleotides. NCBI's taxonomy places the organism in Eukaryota, Metazoa, Chordata, Chondrichthyes, Orectolobiformes, Hemiscylliidae. The record is from RefSeq and is a predicted model, not a curated record.